Molecule: ribosomal RNA, 397 nt
Filed under: uncultured bacterium
Lineage: Bacteria
Description: partial 16S ribosomal RNA
Rfam family: Bacterial small subunit ribosomal RNA
Source: RNAcentral
ACACGUAGGGGGCGAGCGUUGUUCGGAAUCAUUGGGCGUAAAGCGCGCGCAGGCGGUCCUUUAAGUCUGAUGUGAAAGCCCACGGCUCAACCGUGGCGGGUCAUUGGAAACUGGGGGACUUGAGUGCAGAAGAGGAAAGUGGAAUUCCAAGUGUAGCGGUGAAAUGCGUAGAGAUUUGGAGGAACACCAGUGGCGAAGGCGACUUUCUGGUCUGUAACUGACGAUGUGGCGCGAAAGCGUGGGGAGCAAACAGGAUUAGUUACCCUGGUAGUCCACGCCGUAAACGAUGAGUGCUAAGUGUUAGGGGGUUUCCGCCCCUUAGUGCUGCAGCUAACGCAUUAAGCACUCCGCCUGGGGAGUACGGUCGCAAGACUGAAACUCAAAUGAAUUGACGGGG